RNAcentral lists this ribosomal RNA (284 nucleotides) under Blautia luti. Its description in RNAcentral is "partial 16S ribosomal RNA". It matches the Rfam family "Bacterial small subunit ribosomal RNA", at positions 493 to 776 of the family's 1533-position model. The record is from RNAcentral. Lineage: Bacteria; Bacillati; Bacillota; Clostridia; Lachnospirales; Lachnospiraceae.
UCUUUUCCUUUUGUUUCAGCAGCCGCGGUAAUACGUAGGGGGCAAGCGUUAUCCGGAUUUACUGGGUGUAAAGGGAGCGUAGACGGAUGGACAAGUCUGAUGUGAAAGGCUGGGGCUCAACCCCGGGACUGCAUUGGAAACUGCCCGUCUUGAGUGCCGGAGAGGUAAGCGGAAUUCCUAGUGUAGCGGUGAAAUGCGUAGAUAUUAGGAGGAACACCAGUGGCGAAGGCGGCUUACUGGACGGUAACUGACGUUGAGGCUCGAAAGCGUGGGGAGCAAACAGG